GACGAACGCUGGCGGCGUGCCUAAUACAUGCAAGUAGAACGCAGUUGCGAACGGGGGAGUAACGCGUAGGUAACUGCCUCAUAGCGGGGGAUAACUAUUGGAAACGAUAGCUAAUACCGCAUACUGUGAGAUGGACCUGCGUUGUAUUAGCUAGUUGGUGAUGUAAAGGCUCACCAAGGCGACGAUACAUAGCCGCCCUGAGAGGGUGCUCCACCACACUGGGACUGAGACACGGCCCAGACUCCGACGGGGGGCAGCUGUAGGGAGUCUACGGCAUAGGACGUAAGUCUGUCCUAGCAACGCCGCGUGAGUGCAGAAGGUUUUCUGAUCGUAAAGCUCUGUUUUUUCAGAAGCAGUAACUAACCAGAAAAGGUCGGCUGACUACAUGCCAGCAGCCGCGGUAAUAC
This 407-nucleotide ribosomal RNA is filed under the name uncultured bacterium. RNAcentral's name for it is "partial 16S ribosomal RNA". It matches the Rfam family "Bacterial small subunit ribosomal RNA", at positions 28 to 526 of the family's 1533-position model. The record is from RNAcentral.